Molecule: ribosomal RNA, 341 nt
Filed under: uncultured bacterium
Lineage: Bacteria
Description: partial 16S ribosomal RNA
Source: RNAcentral
ACGGCUACCUUGUUACGACUUCACCCCAGUCAUGAAUCACACCGUGGUAAACGCCCUCCCGAAGGUUAAGCUAUCUACUUCUGGUGCAACCCACUCCCAUGGUGUGACGGGCGGUGUGUACAAGGCCCGGGAACGUAUUCACCGCAACAUUCUGAUUUGCGAUUACUAGCGAUUCCGACUUCACGGAGUCGAGUUGCAGACUCCGAUCCGGACUACGACGCGCUUUUUGGGAUUCGCUCACUAUCGCUAGCUUGCAGCCCUCUGUACGCGCCAUUGUAGCACGUGUGUAGCCCUGGCCGUAAGGGCCAUGAUGACUUGACGUCAUCCCCACCUUCCUCCGG